UACGAAGGGGGCUAGCGUUGCUCGGAAUCACUGGGCGUAAAGCGCACGUAGGCGGAUUCUUAAGUCGGUGGUGAAAGCCUGGAGCUCAACUCCAGAACUGCCUUUGAUACUGGCGACCUUGAGUCCGGGAGAGGUGAGUGGAACUGCGAGUGUAGAGGUGAAAUUCGUAGAUAUUCGCAAGAACACCAGUGGCGAAGGCGGCUCACUGGCCCGGUACUGACGCUGAGGUGCGAAAGCGUGGGGAGCAAACAGG
RNAcentral lists this ribosomal RNA (253 nucleotides) under uncultured bacterium. Its description in RNAcentral is "partial 16S ribosomal RNA". It matches the Rfam family "Bacterial small subunit ribosomal RNA", at positions 524 to 776 of the family's 1533-position model. The record is from RNAcentral.